Molecule: transfer RNA, 74 nt
Filed under: uncultured Sphingomonadaceae bacterium
Lineage: Bacteria; Pseudomonadati; Pseudomonadota; Alphaproteobacteria; Sphingomonadales; Sphingomonadaceae
Description: tRNA-Gln-CTG
Rfam family: tRNA
About the family: Transfer RNA (tRNA) molecules are approximately 80 nucleotides in length. Their secondary structure includes four short double-helical elements and three loops (D, anti-codon, and T loops). Further hydrogen bonds mediate the characteristic L-shaped molecular structure. tRNAs have two regions of fundamental functional importance: the anti-codon, which is responsible for specific mRNA codon recognition, and the 3' end, to which the tRNAs corresponding amino acid is attached (by aminoacyl-tRNA synthetases). tRNAs cope with the degeneracy of the genetic code in two manners: having more than one tRNA (with a specific anti-codon) for a particular amino acid; and 'wobble' base-pairing, i.e. permitting non-standard base-pairing at the 3rd anti-codon position.
Source: RNAcentral
UGCCCCGUCGUCCAACGGUAGGACCGCAGACUCUGAAUCUGUUAAUCGUGGUUCGAAUCCACGCGGGGCAUCCG